This is a long non-coding RNA of Panonychus citri (citrus red mite), 3759 nucleotides long. RefSeq lists it as uncharacterized. Lineage: Eukaryota; Metazoa; Arthropoda; Arachnida; Trombidiformes; Tetranychidae. The transcript has 7 exons. The record is from RefSeq and is a predicted model, not a curated record.
UGAUAAACAAUUAAUUCCACUGGAUUGAGAGAAAAAGAAAAAAACUUUGAACAGAAAAAAAAGAGAAGAGAAAACAAAAUAACACCAAAGAUAAUGUUGAUUAUUGAGAAAGGAUUUUAAACUAAAGAGAAUUUGUUUCUUUUUCUCUUUUUCUCUUGUUCUUCCUUCUCUUUUCCCCUCUUCUUUUCCCUCUUCUCUGUUCAACUUCUCUUUCUUUUCUCUUUCUCUCUUCUCCCAAGAGGAGGUAACAUAAUUUUCCAGCCCUUUUUGUUUUCACUUUUCUUCUGUCACUUGAUUAACACUUACAAUUAAUUAAAUCGCUUAAAUUUAAUCGUAUCAAUUAAUUUAACAUAUUCUUUGUUCGCAAUUUAUCAUCAGUGUUUACUGGAAAUUAAUCCCGAUUAGAGUGUUAAUCCUGUUGAUUCACUUGUUAAGUAAUUAACGUUUGCCCUUUGAUGACAAGAUGGCGGAUCUUUUGGUUAAUCGGUUGAUAUUUUUUAUUUGUUUAAACGAGAUUUGCUUUAAUUGGUGUUGGUUUUUUGUUUUUGUUUCGUUUCUUAAAACAUCUCAAUGUGGAUCAGCUUUUGGCUUGACAAUUGGUAUCUGAUAAACGAUUGGAAUAUUUUGGUUGACUGAGAGAGAAAUCGAAAUUAUCAUUGUUUGGUACUUUUUGGAUAAAUUGGUGUUGUGUCUCUGUGUGGAAAUGGAUUUAUUGGUUAGAAUCAACAAGUGUCAACAUUAAAAAAAACACUAAAGGAGUUACAUGUAAAUGGAAUUUCUUCAUUUAUUGUCAUCGUCAUUUAUCAUCAAUCUCUAAUCUUCAAUCCAUCAUCACAUCUUUAUUUUUUUUCUUCCUUCAUUAAUGAUCCUUGUCUCGUAGACAAACAAAUUUUAUGGCUAAUUUGUUGAUUAUAUCGCUCAAAUCAAUCUAAUCAAUCUUAAUUUGAUUACCCUUCCUACACUGACGUUAACAAUAAUGUUAUUUCAUUGUCAACUAGGCAAUUUCCAGUGGAUGCUAACUAGUGUUUGAAUUAACAAUCAACCGGACUGCCAUUAACUGCGUUCUACCUUGAAACGUUUACUUGUCAUCGGAUUGAGAGUAUAAAUAUUAUAAAGGACAAUAAUCUCCAAUCAUAAUUUAAAUUUUCUCUGUGUGAGAAUCUCUGCUGGAUAUGACACCAUGGAGAAACUCACUUUAUUGAUUAAGACAAAGUUGAUCACAACUGGAAAUCAAAAUGAAAGGGAUGAUAAGUGAUUACAAUAAAAAAAAAGAUUCUGAGAUCGCUGGUUUCUUGGUUUUGCUUCGAUUUCUUCUUUGGUUUUUUGAACUUUUUGGAUUUGGAUUUGGAUCAUGGAUUUUAGCGUUUAACUGUACGCACAUUACCAUUCGGCCACUUUUGUCGGUCAGUGAAUAUUUAACCUUGAUUGGAAUCUGGAGAAAACAAAAAAAUGUCAACACAAUUGGUUAGUCAGAAAAAAACAAGACAGAUAAGUGAUGUAAAGUCCAUCAAGAGGAAACCAAUCAACAAUUAACACAAAUCUGAUAAAUUUGACGAUUUCCAUAUGAUCAGAAAAAUCAUUCAACAACAUAAUUUAAGACCUUGACCAAGAUGAAUUGAAGUCACAUCCAUCAUCACCACGAGAUUAAGUAAUUAGACGAGGAAACAUAUGGCUAAUCAUCAUCAUCGUUAUAAUGAUCGUGUUGAUAAAAAAAUAGAUUAGCAGUUUCCUUAAUUUAACUUAAAGUCGCUCAAUACUCUGUCUUUAAUCUAAUUAUCAUGCAUCAACAGAGAGGAAAACAAUUGACAACCAACCUCGGCAACUAUGGAUGGAGAAAUACAAAGAUUCAUGGUGACAUAUGAGCAAAAUUGUCGCUUAAUUGUUUCACCUCAAUACCCAGUAAACGUUUUCUUCAAGAUCAAUUACACUUCUGAAAGCUAUUGAAGCAAAAUCAAGAAAUUAUCCUACAACAAACAUCAAGUGCAUCCUUUUUGAUAACAAAGUAACUUCAUUUACAAAACUAUUACAUGGAUGGUUUCAAAAAGAUAAUAACAAUUAUCAUCUCGAACUUGAUGUUUUAACUUCCAUUAGCUACAAAAUUCAAUAUUUCAAAAUUUGUGUAAGAAUAAUUGAAAAAGAUACCCAAUUGAAUGGACCAACACUCCAACAUAACUAAUUGUUACUACGAUAAAUUCAAAUUUGCCUAAACAAAUUAUUCAUGAAACAAUUGUAUUUCCUGUUCCGAAGACAUCAUGUUGCUUAUCAUCAUUAUUCAAAAGCAAUUGAUGAAAGGAGGAAGAUGGAAAACAAACAAUUGUGAUAAUUGAUUGAUCGUUUUUCUUUCCAGAACAAUAUUGAAAGAUGAUUAUACAUGUAAUCAUCAACUAAAUCAAUUGGAUUUGAAUAAUUAUCACUUACCGCUGGAUAGAAAGGUUUAACUUCGAACGAAGCUUUGAAAAGAUAUUUACGACCUUUUUUGAUUGGACAAGAAGGUACAAUAUAACCUGAACAUGGAUCUUUUCGAGUCUCAGGGAACGGAAGUUCUCGUCCUCGAACCACACCUUUAAUUACUUCGGACAAACUGUUGGCAUUGAUCGCUGUGUAAAUAGAAUAGAAAAAUUAACCAAAGCUGAUUAGAACAAAAGGAAAACUUGAAAUAAUUCUGUUAGAAAGAGAUCAAUAUUAUUCUAAAUGAAUAAAUAUCUGUGAAUGACCAUCAAAUUGGCUCUUAGCACUUCGUCACCACGGUAAACAUUACACCAUGGAAACAAUGAGUCAAUAAUGGAAACACCCUGAGCAACAUUGGAAAAAAAGUUCCAUAAUCAAUGUUUAUUGAUUUCAAAUUAUUCAAAUUCAAGUGUUUACUUUAAAUUUCAAGUAAUUCAAAUGGAUUUCAAUAACUUGCGUUUACAGCUAAGAAAAGUUCGAACUGAUAAUAGAUAAUUGGAACUUACGUGCUUCGAAAUCAGCUUCAACCUCGACAGUUGAUCCAAGGUUGAUGAUACAAGGAUCCCCUGAACAUGGUCUUACACGAACUUCCCGAACAUUACCACCUCCUAGGGAAUAAAGAAAAUAAUAUCAAUAUAAAUGUCCAGUUUGUCUUAUGAAAUAUACAAUAUAAACACUGUGAACACUUUAAAUGGUGAUGAUAAUCAACAGAUAACUAACCACAAUCAGUGAAGUUUACACCCUGUCCAUUGACUUUGGUAAAAGCAAAACAAGUAAAAAAUAAGAUUAUUGAAGAUUUGAUCAUCAUGGUGAAGUUGGUGAAAUCGAAAUGAAACUUUUCUUCAACGUUCAAGAGAUAAUGUUUUAAGAAGGAAAAAAAAGGUUGGAUUUAUAAUUUGAAAGUCGAGAGAAAAGAAAAAGUCGAAAACACCGAAUACACACCGUGAGAUUUCAGCUCGAAAUCAUUAAGUGAAAUCGGAAAAGUGGUCUGAUGAAUGAUAAUGAUGACGACUAACCGUAGGUGGUGGUGGAAGGAAGACAAAAAAGGGAGGGGCAAAGGUUAAAUCGUAAAUGAAAGUGAAAGUUAAAUGUUUCAAGUUUUUCUUACCUCGUAGCCUAGUUUUUUAAGGAACUGUCGGAGUGGAGGCUCAUCACCGAAAAAUCUGAUGAAGAAUAAAAAAUCUCAAUUUCUCCGAUGAAUCCUUAGGAUCUGGUCCCAUGUUGCUUGUUGAUCGUUUUGGUUCCACCGUCGACAACCAGAGGUGUCGUUUUAAAGCAUCGUAACUGCUCGUGGAUUCGGUCGACAUCUUU